This 952-nucleotide ribosomal RNA is filed under the name human gut metagenome. RNAcentral describes it as "bacterial LSU rRNA". It matches the Rfam family "Bacterial large subunit ribosomal RNA", at positions 1963 to 2925 of the family's 2925-position model. The record is from RNAcentral.
AAUUCCUUGUCGGGUAAGUUCCGACCUGCACGAAUCGUGAAACGAGUUGGGCACUGUCUCAACCAGGCGCUCAGUGAAAUUGUAGUGGCGGUGAAGAUGCCGCCUACCCGCAGAAGGACGGAAAGACCCUAUAGACCUUAACUGUAAGCUGUCAUUGUUUCUUCGGUUUUAAUGCUCAGAGUAAGUGGGAGACGCUGAAGAUGCCCUUUAGGGGGCAUCCGAGUCAUCAAUGAGACACCACCCUUUGAAACUGGAGGAUCUAACCCUGAGCCGUGAAUCCGGCCAGAGGACCGUGUCAGCCGGUCAGUUUUACUGGGGCGGUAUCCUCCCAAAGAGUAACGGAGGAGCGCGAAGGUGGGCUCAGCCCGGUUGGCAACCGGGUGUCGAGUGCAUGGGCAUAAGCCCGCCUAACUGUGAGACCAACAAGUCGAGCAGAUGCGAAAGCAGGCCCAAGUGAUCCGGCGGUAGAAAGUGGAAUUGCCGUCGCUCAACGGAUAAAAGGUACCUUAGGGAUAACAGGCUGAUCACGCCCAAGAGUUCAUAUCGACGGCGUGGUUUGGCACCUCGAUGUCGGCUCGUCGCAUCCUGGGGCUGGAGAAGGUCCCAAGGGUCCGGCUGUUCGCCGGUUAAAGCGGCACGCGAGCUGGGUUCAGAACGUCGCGAGACAGUUCGGUCCUCUAUCCUCUGUGGGCGUUGGAAAAUUGAGGGGUUCAGACCUUAGUACGAGAGGACCGGGUCUGACGCACCACUGGUGCAUCGGUUGUACUGUCAAGUGCAUGGCCGAGUAGCUAAGUGCGGAAGGGAUAAGCGCUGAAAGCAUCUAAGCGCCAAGCCCAUCCCAAGAUGAGUUUUCCCUAUAGGUUCGUGGAAGACCACCACGUCGAUAGGUCGCAGGUGUAAGUGCAGCAAUGUAUUGAGCCAAGCGAUACUAAUCACCGAUAGACUUCAUCAU